RNAcentral lists this ribosomal RNA (1405 nucleotides) under uncultured bacterium. RNAcentral describes it as "bacterial SSU rRNA". It matches the Rfam family "Bacterial small subunit ribosomal RNA". The record is from RNAcentral.
AGAGUUUGAUCCUGGCUCAGAGCGAACGUUAGCGGCGCGCCUAACACAUGCAAGUCGCACGAGAAAGGGGGCAACCCCCGGUACAGUGGCGCACGGGUGAGUAACACGUAGAUGACCUUCCCUGGAGUGGUGGAUAACCUGCCGAAAGGCGGGCUAAUACAGCAUGGGACCACAUGGUUUUGACCGAGUGGUGAAAGCGGGCCUCUGUACACAAGCUCGCGCUCUGGGAUGGGUCUGCGGCCCAUCAGCUAGUUGGUGAGGUAACGGCUCACCAAGGCAACGACGGGUAGCUGGUCUGAGAGGAUGACCAGCCACACUGGAACUGAGACACGGUCCAGACUCCUACGGGAGGCAGCAGUGGGGAAUCUUGCGCAAUGGGCGAAAGCCUGACGCAGCGACGCCGCGUGGGUGAUGAAGGCCCUCGGGUUGUAAAGCCCUGUGGGGAGGAACGAACCGCUCGGGGGUGAAUAUCCUCCGAGCUUGACGGUACCUCCUUAGCAAGCAUCGGCUAACUCUGUGCCAGCAGCCGCGGUAAGACAGAGGAUGCGAACGUUGCUCGGAAUUACUGGGCGUAAAGCGCGCGCAGGUUGCCCUGUAAGUCGUGUGUGAAAUCCCUCUGCUCAACGGAGGAAGUGCACGGGAUACUGCAGGGCUGGAGUACAGAAGAGGACAGCGGAAUUCCCGGUGUAGAGGUGAAAUUCGUAGAUAUCGGAGGAACACCAGUGGCGAACGCGGCUGUCUGGGCUGAUACUGACACUGAGCGCGAAAGCGUGGGAAGCAACAGGAUUAGAUACCCUGGUAGUCCACGCUGUAACGAUGACGACUGAGUGUUUGGCGGGUAUGACCCCCGCGUGCGAGCUAUGCGUUAGUCGUCGGCCUGGGAAGUUACGACCGCAAGGCCUAAAACCUCUCAAGAAUUGACGGGGGCCCGCACAAGCGGUGGAGCAUGUGGUUUAAUUCGACGCAACGCGAAGAACCUUACCCGGGCUCGAAAAUGCAGGGAGUCUGCUGAAAGGCGGAUGUGCUCGCAAGAGAACCUGUAUCAGGUGCUGCAUGGCUGUCGUCAGCUCGUGUCGUGAGAUGUUGGGUUAAGUCCCGCAACGAGCGCAACCCACGUCCUUAGUUGCCAGCAUUAAGUUGGGGACUCUAGGGAGACUGCCGGUGACAAACCGGAGGAAGGUGUGGAUGACGUCAAGUCAUCAUGCCCCUUACGUCCAGGGCUACACACGUGCUACAAUGGCCGGUACAGAGCGUUGCCAACUCGCGAGAGUGCGCUAAUCGCCAAAAGCCGGUCUAAGUUCGGAUUGUAGUCUGCAACUCGACUACAUGAAGCUGGAAUCGCUAGUAAUCGAGGAUCAGCUACGCCUCGGUGAAUACGUUCCCGGGUCUUGUACACACCGCCCGU